GAGGGGAAUAUUGGACAAUGGGCGAAAGCCUGAUCCAGCCAUGCCGCGUGAGUGAUGAAGGCCUUAGGGUUGUAAAGCUCUUUUGUCCGGGAAGAUAAUGACUGUACCGGAAGAAUAAGCGCCGGCUAACUUCGUGCCAGCAGCCGCGGUAAUACGAAGGGGGCUAGCGUUGCUCGGAAUCACUGGGCGUAAAGGGCGCGUAGGCGGACUUUUAAGUCGGAGGUGAAAGCCCAGGGCUCACCCCUGGAAUUGCCUUCGAUACUGGGAGUCUUGAGUUCGGAAGAGGUUGGUGGAACUGCGAGUGUAGAGGUGAAAUUCGUAGAUAUUCGCAAGAACACCGGUGGCGAAGGCGGCCAACUGGUCCGAAACUGACGCUGAGGCGCGAAAGCGUGGGGAGCAAACAGGAUUAGAUACCCGUGUAGUCC
This 425-nucleotide ribosomal RNA is filed under the name uncultured bacterium. RNAcentral's name for it is "partial 16S ribosomal RNA". It matches the Rfam family "Bacterial small subunit ribosomal RNA", at positions 354 to 796 of the family's 1533-position model. The record is from RNAcentral.